GGGGAAUUUUGGACAAUGGGCGCAAGCCUGAUCCAGCAAUGCCGCGUGAGUGAAGAAGGCCUUCGGGUUGUAAAGCUCUUUUGUCAGGGAAGAAACGGUGAGGGCUAAUAUCCUUUGCUAAUGACGGUAACUGAAGAAUAAGCAUCGGCUACCUACGUGCCAGCAGCCGCGGUAAUACGUAGGGUGCAAGCGUUAAUCGGAAUUACUGGGCGUAAAGCGUGCGCAGGCGGUUUUGUAAGUCUGAUGUGAAAUCCCCGGGCUCAACCUGGGAAUUGCAUUGGAGACUGCAAGGCUAGAAUCUGGCAGAGGGGGGUAGAAUUCCACGUGUAGCAGUGAAAUGCGUAGAGAUGUGGAGGAACACCGAUGGCGAAGGCAGCCCCCUGGGUCAAGAUUGACGCUCAUGCACGAAAGCGUGGGGAGCAAA
This 424-nucleotide ribosomal RNA is filed under the name uncultured bacterium. RNAcentral's name for it is "bacterial SSU rRNA". It matches the Rfam family "Bacterial small subunit ribosomal RNA", at positions 356 to 772 of the family's 1533-position model. The record is from RNAcentral.